RNAcentral lists this transfer RNA (67 nucleotides) under Leiodon cutcutia (ocellated pufferfish). RNAcentral describes it as "tRNA-Ser(AGY)". The record is from RNAcentral. Lineage: Eukaryota; Metazoa; Chordata; Actinopteri; Tetraodontiformes; Tetraodontidae.
GAGAGAGGCCCGACGCAAUGAGGACUGCUAAUUUUCAUCCCUUUGGUUAAACUCCAAAGCUCACUCG